Molecule: long non-coding RNA, 388 nt
Filed under: Sorghum bicolor (sorghum)
Lineage: Eukaryota; Viridiplantae; Streptophyta; Magnoliopsida; Poales; Poaceae
Description: long non-coding RNA (SBIC_LNC018773)
Source: RNAcentral
ACCAUAUGCUAAGAAAUCCAUUUAGCUGCACCCCAAUAGAACUCCUAGAUAACAUGUGUCAUAUAGAAUCUCGCUUUGGUCUGUUUGGAGACAGAGUUAGUUUUGGUGCAAGAUAGGUACACAGUUUGCGCCUAAUGCAUCAUAGCCUAAGAAACCAUUUUGGAUGCACCCGAUGAUACUCCUGGGUAAAAGGGCACAAGUGGAAGCUCCGGUUGCUUUUGUUUGGAGAUAGUGCUAAUCUUUUUUUGAGCAAGAACCGUGGGGCAAAGCCCCCCGGCAACAGGGAAUAAUAAACACAAACAAACUGUUUACAGAGAAAAGAGAGAGAGAGAGAGAGAGCUAAAAUCUAACCAGAGGUUAGAGAGAAAAAAAAACUAAACUAGGAGCU